UGCUCAUGAUGUGUACUGUUUUGGGAAGGUCUUAUUGGAGCUCAUAACAGGCAAACUGGGCAUCAGUAAAUCAGAUGAUGCCACAACAAGGGAGUGGCUAGAACACACAUUGGCAUAUAUCAGUAUAUAUGACAAGGAACCAGUGACGAAGAUUAUUGACCCGUCUUUGAUCGUAGAUGAAGAUUUGUUGGAAGAGGUAUGGGCCAUGGCCAUUGUGGCCAGAUCAUGCCUUAAUCCCAAGGCUUCAAAACGUCCCCCAAUGAAAUAUAUUCUCAAAGCAUUAGAAAACCCGUUGAAAGUUGUGAGGGAGGAGAGUUACAAUUCAGGAAGGCUGAGAACAACUUCAUCUAGGAGAUCCUGGAGUGCUGCCUUUUUUGGCAGUUGGCGACACAGCUCAUCAGAAAAUGCUACUGUUCCAGGCCAUACUAUCCGCGAAGGUGUCGGUGGCUCAAAGCAGCCAGGAAGAGUAGGAUCUCAUGGCAGUUGUGGAAUUGAACAUACAUAUUCUAAUAAAAAGUUAUCCAGUGAAAUUUUUCCCGAGCCACUUGAAAUGCAAGAUAUAGAGCUGCAAGAUGAGCAUUAGCUAGCAUGGUGUUUUCAGAUGUUCAUUGAACAUACUGUGGCGUUCGCAGUUGAGUGUUAAACAUCCCUUUGAUAGCCUUUCAUCCAGGACUAAGGCAUUGAUUGAGCGGCUGGUUGGCUUGCUGAUGGCAGCAGAAGCUAU
Molecule: unclassified non-coding RNA, 724 nt
Filed under: Hevea brasiliensis (rubber tree)
Lineage: Eukaryota; Viridiplantae; Streptophyta; Magnoliopsida; Malpighiales; Euphorbiaceae
Source: RNAcentral